RNAcentral lists this ribosomal RNA (238 nucleotides) under uncultured bacterium. RNAcentral describes it as "partial 16S ribosomal RNA". It matches the Rfam family "Bacterial small subunit ribosomal RNA", at positions 96 to 334 of the family's 1533-position model. The record is from RNAcentral.
CGGCGGACGGGUGAGUAACGCGUGGGUAACCUGCCUCAUACAGGGGGAUAACAGUUAGAAAUGGCUGCUAAUACCGCAUAAGACCACGGUACUGCAUGGUACAGUGGUAAAAACUCCGGUGGUAUGAGAUGGCCCCGCGUCUGAUUAGGUAGUUGGUGAGGUAACGGCCCACCAAGCCGACGAUCAGUAGCCGACCUGAGAGGGUGACCGGCCACAUUGGGACUGAGACACGGCCCAG